RNAcentral lists this ribosomal RNA (415 nucleotides) under uncultured prokaryote. RNAcentral describes it as "bacterial SSU rRNA". It matches the Rfam family "Bacterial small subunit ribosomal RNA", at positions 505 to 918 of the family's 1533-position model. The record is from RNAcentral.
GUGUCAGCAGCCGCGGUAAUACGGAGGGUGCAAGCGUUGUUCGGAAUUAUUGGGCGUAAAGAGCGUGUAGGCGGCCUGGUAAGUCAGGUGUGAAAUCCCUUGGCUUAACCAAGGAAGUGCAUUUGAAACUGUCAGGCUUGAGUACGGGAGGGGGAAGUGGAAUUCCCGGUGUAGAGGUGAAAUUCGUAGAUAUCGGGAGGAACACCGGUAGCGAAGGCGGCUUCCUGGACCGAUACUGACGCUGAGACGCGAAAGCGUGGGGAGCAAACAGGAUUAGAUACCCUGGUAGUCCACGCCGUAAACGUUGGGCACUAGGUAUUGCGGGUAUUGACCCCUGCAGUGCCGCAGCUAACGCAUUAAGUGCCCCGCCUGGGGAGUACGGUCGCAAGGCUAAAACUCAAAUGAAUUGACGGGG